UACGUAGGUGGCAAGCGUUGUCCGGAUUUAUUGGGCGUAAAGCGAGCGCAGGCGGUUUUUUAAGUCUGAUGUGAAAGCCUUCGGCUCAACCGAAGAAGUGCAUCGGAAACUGGGAAACUUGAGUGCAGAAGAGGACAGUGGAACUCCAUGUGUAGCGGUGAAAUGCGUAGAUAUAUGGAAGAACACCAGUGGCGAAGGCGACUUUCUGGACUGUAACUGACACUGAGGCUCGAAAGCGUGGGGAGCAAACAGG
RNAcentral lists this ribosomal RNA (253 nucleotides) under uncultured microorganism. Its description in RNAcentral is "partial small subunit ribosomal RNA". It matches the Rfam family "Bacterial small subunit ribosomal RNA", at positions 524 to 776 of the family's 1533-position model. The record is from RNAcentral.